Molecule: small nucleolar RNA, 76 nt
Filed under: Stegodyphus mimosarum
Lineage: Eukaryota; Metazoa; Arthropoda; Arachnida; Araneae; Eresidae
Description: Small nucleolar RNA SNORD34
Rfam family: Small nucleolar RNA SNORD34
About the family: snoRNA U34 is found in intron 5 of the ribosomal protein L13a gene in humans.
Source: Rfam by way of RNAcentral
GCUUGUAUAUGAUGAUUGAUAUUCUUACAUACAUUGUUUGAUUAUCAUUGAAAAGUAAAAAGUAUCUGAUACAGUU